This 431-nucleotide ribosomal RNA is filed under the name Bacillus sp. R-32694. Its description in RNAcentral is "bacterial SSU rRNA". It matches the Rfam family "Bacterial small subunit ribosomal RNA", at positions 20 to 453 of the family's 1533-position model. The record is from RNAcentral. Lineage: Bacteria; Bacillati; Bacillota; Bacilli; Caryophanales; Bacillaceae.
UGGCUCAGGACGAACGCUGGCGGCGUGCCUAAUACAUGCAAGUCGAGCGAACCACUUCGGUGGUUAGCGGCGGACGGGUGAGUAACACGUGGGCAACCUGCCUGUAAGACUGGGAUAACUUCGGGAAACCGGAGCUAAUACCGGAUAAUCCUUUUCCUCUCAUGAGGAAAAGCUGAAAGUCGGUUUCGGCUGUCACUUACAGAUGGGCCCGCGGCGCAUUAGCUAGUUGGUGAGGUAACGGCUCACCAAGGCGACGAUGCGUAGCCGACCUGAGAGGGUGAUCGGCCACACUGGGACUGAGACACGGCCCAGACUCCUACGGGAGGCAGCAGUAGGGAAUCUUCCACAAUGGACGAAAGUCUGAUGGAGCAACGCCGCGUGAGCGAUGAAGGCCUUCGGGUCGUAAAGCUCUGUUGUUAGGGAAGAACAAG